Molecule: ribosomal RNA, 468 nt
Filed under: uncultured bacterium
Lineage: Bacteria
Description: partial 16S ribosomal RNA
Rfam family: Bacterial small subunit ribosomal RNA
Source: RNAcentral
GACGAACGCUGGCGGCGUGCUUAACACAUGCAAGUCGAACGGAAAGGCCCUGCUUUUGUGGGGUUCUCGAGUGGCGAACGGGUGAGUAACACGUGAGUAACCUGCCCUUGACUUUGGGAUAACUUCAGGAAACUGGGGCUAAUACCGGAUAGGAGCUCCUGCUGCAUGGUGGGGGUUGGAAAGUUUCGGCGGUUGGGGAUGGACUCGCGGCUUAUCAGCUUGUUGGUUGGGUAGUGGCUUACCCAGGCUUUGACGGGUAGCCGGCCUGUGAGGGUGACCGGCCACAUGGGGACUGAGAUACGGACCAGACUCCUACGGGAGGCAGAAGUGGGGAAUAUGGCACAAUGGGCGGAAGCCUGAUGCAGAAACGCCGCGUGCGGGAUGACGGCCUUCGGGGUGUAAACAGCUUUCGCCUGUGACGAAGCGUGAGUGACGGUAAUGGGUAAAGAAGCACCGGCUAACUACGUG